UUGACAUGCUGAGAACUUUCCAGAGAUGGAUUGGUGCCUUCGGGAACUCAGACACAGGUGCUGCAUGGCUGUCGUCAGCUCGUGUCGUGAGAUGCUGGGUUAAGUCCCGUAACGAGCGCAACCCUUGUCCUUAGUUACCAGCACGUUAUGGUGGGCACUCUAAGGAGACUGCCGGUGACAAACCGGAGGAAGGUGGGGAUGACGUCAAGUCAUCAUGGCCCUUACGGCCAGGGCUACACACGUGCUACAAUGGUCGGUACAAAGGGUUGCCAAGCCGCGAGGUGGAGCUAAUCCCAUAAAACCGAUCGUAGUCCGGAUCGCAGUCUGCAACUCGACUGCGUGAAGUCGGAAUCGCUAGUAAUCGUGAAUCAGAAUGUCACGGUGAAUACGUUCCCGGGCCUUGUACACACCGCCCGUCACACCAUGGGAGUGGGUUGCUCCAGAAGUAGCUAGUCUAACCUUCGGGGGGACGGUUACCACGGAGUGAUUCAUGACUGGGGUGAAGUCGUAACAAGGUAAGCGUAGAUGA
This 529-nucleotide ribosomal RNA is filed under the name uncultured bacterium. RNAcentral describes it as "bacterial SSU rRNA". It matches the Rfam family "Bacterial small subunit ribosomal RNA", at positions 981 to 1509 of the family's 1533-position model. The record is from RNAcentral.